This 256-nucleotide ribosomal RNA is filed under the name uncultured bacterium. Its description in RNAcentral is "partial 16S ribosomal RNA". It matches the Rfam family "Bacterial small subunit ribosomal RNA", at positions 526 to 779 of the family's 1533-position model. The record is from RNAcentral.
CGUAGGACCCAAGCGUUAUCCGGAGUGACUGGGCGUAAAGAGUUGCGUAGGUGGUUUGUAAAGCGAAUAGUGAAAUCUGGCGGCUCAACCGUACAGGCUAUUAUUCGAACUCACAAACUCGAGAAUGGUAGAGGUAACUGGAAUUUCUUGUGUAGGAGUGAAAUCCGUAGAUAUAAGAAGGAACACCAAUGGCGUAGGCAGGUUACUGGACCAUUUCUGACACUGAGGCACGAAAGCGUGGGGAGCGAACCGGAUU